UACGAAGGGAGCUAGCGUUGUUCGGAAUCACUGGGCGUAAAGCGCACGUAGGCGGAUGUGUAAGUCAGGGGUGAAAUCCCGGAGCUCAACUUCGGAACUGCCCUUGAUACAGCACGUCUUGAGUCCGGAAGAGGUGGGUGGAAUUCCUAGUGUAGAGGUGAAAUUCGUAGAUAUUAGGAAGAACACCUGUGGCGAAGGCGGCCCACUGGUCCGGUACUGACGCUGAGGUGCGAAAGCGUGGGGAGCAAACAGG
This 253-nucleotide ribosomal RNA is filed under the name uncultured bacterium. RNAcentral's name for it is "partial 16S ribosomal RNA". It matches the Rfam family "Bacterial small subunit ribosomal RNA", at positions 524 to 776 of the family's 1533-position model. The record is from RNAcentral.